CCGGAUUGACUCUCGCUUCUAGCAUCCUGCCAACACACCCCCCAAGGCAGCCGUUGACAGCGCGGAUGGUUGGAUUUCCGCCACCCACAUGGGACACAUGGAUGGAGCACUGGGCUCCUGGCUUUAGCCUGGCCCAGCCUGGCCCAGCUGCAGCUGUUGUGGCAUUUAAGCAGUAACCCAGUGAACGGGAGAUUGGUAUCUAUCUACACCUCCUUCCCUCCAUCCUUCUCUAUCUCUCAGCCUGUCAAAUAAACUAAAUAAACACAAAUAGUUUCUAAGCACCUCCUCACCCAAACAGGAGCCAUCCAUCUGUAAUCACCGUAAGAUUUGCUAACCAUCAGGAGAGGAACUCAUCAGACUGAUAUAGAAAAGAAUUCAGAUGCCAAGGAACCUCGGUCACAGGUUUCCCUUCCCCAUGUAACAGUAAGACAGAUGUGAAGGAGAGAGCUACAGAGGAGCCAGGAAGACAUGCAAGGGUGUUUGAAACCCCCCUUAUGUGGAAGCUAAAGUGGGGGGUUGCUUCAGCCCUUUUUUGGUAGGGAAUAUUGGUUUGUGUCCAUCACUGGUGCAGCAAUGACCCCGAUGUCUAAGGGGCAUGCCAGAAUACUGCAGCCUCCUCUGGUCACCAUGGCAACCAUCAAUCACACCAUCUGAGUCACCUCCAUGGAGGUGAGGCUCCCUGGCUGUGCAUGUCUACCCGCAGUUGGAUGAACAAUGCCCAAGGUGAUUUGAAUCUUGAUAACAGUGACUCAAAAACCACAAAUAAAUGGCAUCAUGCUGAGUCACUAGCAGGACACAAUGUGCUAGCAGGAAAGAGAGCAGCGGGCCUGAUCAGAGGUGGGAACGAGGCCAGGCACAACCUGACCAAACAUAACAUACAGAGCCACACCUCAGCCCCAGUGGCACUGUGUGGCACCUGUCACCCCACAGGAGGCCCUUGCUUUAACAAUGUAAAUAUUUCUACAUCUUGUUUUUGUAGAAGCUCAACUAGUGAGGGAUUAUUCCUUUGCAAAUUAACUCAUUUUACCAGUCUUAAGCAAAAAGGGCCUGUGCUAGUUAUCACCAUUCGUCUUAAAUUUCAACUUAAUCUACAUUAUGAGAACGUAUCUGUUAGCUAAGAUAGAUGCAUGUAAGAAAAGGUAGCUAA
Ochotona curzoniae (black-lipped pika) is the source of this 1147-nucleotide long non-coding RNA. RefSeq lists it as uncharacterized. The record is from RefSeq and is a predicted model, not a curated record. The transcript is spliced from 2 exons. NCBI's taxonomy places the organism in Eukaryota, Metazoa, Chordata, Mammalia, Lagomorpha, Ochotonidae.